RNAcentral lists this ribosomal RNA (452 nucleotides) under uncultured bacterium. RNAcentral describes it as "bacterial SSU rRNA". It matches the Rfam family "Bacterial small subunit ribosomal RNA", at positions 1052 to 1504 of the family's 1533-position model. The record is from RNAcentral.
UCGUCAGCUCGUGUCGUGAGAUGUUGGGUUAAGUCCCGCAACGAGCGCAACCCUUGCCUUUAGUUGCCAGCAUUAAGUUGGGCACUCUAGAGGGACUGCCGAGGAUAACUCGGAGGAAGGUGGGGAUGACGUCAAAUCAUCAUGCCCCUUAUGCUUAGGGCUACACACGUGCUACAAUGGGUGGUACAGAGGGUUGCCAAACCGUGAGGUGGAGCUAAUCCCUUAAAGCCAUUCUCAGUUCGGAUUGUAGGCUGAAACUCGCCUACAUGAAGCUGGAGUUACUAGUAAUCGCAGAUCAGAAUGCUGCGGUGAAUGCGUUCCCGGGUCUUGUACACACCGCCCGUCACACCAUGGGAAUUGGGGGCGCCCGAAGCCGGUUAGCUAACCUUUUAGGAGGCAACCGUCGAAGGUGAAACCAAUGACUGGGGUGAAGUCGUAACAAGGUAGCCGUA